GUCGGCUACGAGGACGACGCUGGCGGCGUGCUUAACACAUGCAAGUCGAGCGAUGAACCCGGAGCUUGCUCCGGUGGAUUAGUGGCGAACGGGUGAGUAACACGUGAGUAACCUGCCCUUGACUCUGGGAUAACUGCGGGAAACUGUAGCUAAUACCGGAUACGACCCUCGGCGGCAUCGCCAGGGGUGGAAAGAAUUUCGGUCAAGGAUGGACUCGCGGCCUAUCAGCUAGUUGGUGAGGUAAUGGCUCACCAAGGCGACGACGGGUAGCCGGCCUGAGAGGGUGACCGGCCACACUGGGACUGAGAUACGGGCCAGACUCCUACGGGAGGCAGCAGUAGGGAAUAUUGGGCAAUGGUCGGAAGACUGACCCAGCCAUGCCGCGUGCAGGAAGACGGCCCUCUGGGUUGUAAACUGCUUUUAUCUGGGAAGAAAAAGGCCAUGCGUGGCAAAUUGCCGGUACCAGAUGAAUAAGCACCGGCUAACUCCGUG
RNAcentral lists this ribosomal RNA (492 nucleotides) under uncultured bacterium. RNAcentral describes it as "bacterial SSU rRNA". It matches the Rfam family "Bacterial small subunit ribosomal RNA", at positions 33 to 507 of the family's 1533-position model. The record is from RNAcentral.